UUAACCUCAAAUCAGGUAGGACUACCCGCUGAACUUUAAGCAUAUCAAAAAGCGGAGGGAAC
RNAcentral lists this ribosomal RNA (62 nucleotides) under Collybiopsis polygramma. RNAcentral's name for it is "Gymnopus polygrammus partial large subunit ribosomal RNA". The record is from RNAcentral. Lineage: Eukaryota; Fungi; Basidiomycota; Agaricomycetes; Agaricales; Omphalotaceae.